CGACCCCAGGUCAGGCGGGAUUCACCCGC
This 29-nucleotide ribosomal RNA is filed under the name Nymphoides indica. RNAcentral describes it as "partial 26S ribosomal RNA". Lineage: Eukaryota; Viridiplantae; Streptophyta; Magnoliopsida; Asterales; Menyanthaceae. The record is from RNAcentral. RNAcentral also lists the same sequence under 2 other names.